CAUACCUUAAUCAGAUCGGUAACUUACUGAUGGAUAACAUUCUUUACACUCUGUAGCUUUACUACAGUGAUGUAAGUUUAUUGUAAGUUUGUAGGCUGAACAUACAACGUUGAAACAACGUUGCCAUAACAAAGGUGAUUUACUUUUCAAUCAAAUCCAACGCUAAUUCAACCAUAACAGCAACGUUGAUUUAACGCUGAAAUGCCAUCUGGGAUCUGGUCCAUAUCAACAUUCUGAAUGUUGGACAGCUGCCCCAGGACGGACUGCUUGUGCUCCUCCUCUUCAUUAUCCUCGGCGAUCAUCUUAGCCAGCUCAGUGGGAAGCUCCACAUCUUUACCUGCUGCCUCGAUCUGAGUGUCAUCCAGCUCACUCUAGGUGGACAAAGGACAGGCUGAGCUGAUCAGUUUACAGAGAGUCAUAUAUAGAAUAAAAAGAAAACAACACAAGUACAAGUUCUACAGUAUUGAGUUACUUACAUGGAAUCUAUAAGCACAGAAGUCUAUGAGCUCUGAUUCCUCAUACUCCAGUUAGGAUACAAUCAACUUACAUGCUUGUCACUAGUGCACACACAAUAAAAUUAAGCACAAAUGAAACCAAAUGUCAAUUUAUGUCAAGAUAUUUUAUUUUUAUUUUAUUUAUAUUCCGAUGAUCCUGACUGGGCAGUUUAGUCAAACAAACACCUCCUUUAUGAUAAAAAUGCAGCAAUACAGGCAAAUUUCUUUU
This is a long non-coding RNA of Astyanax mexicanus (Mexican tetra), 723 nucleotides long. RefSeq lists it as uncharacterized. The transcript has 3 exons. The record is from RefSeq and is a predicted model, not a curated record. NCBI's taxonomy places the organism in Eukaryota, Metazoa, Chordata, Actinopteri, Characiformes, Acestrorhamphidae.